This 589-nucleotide ribosomal RNA is filed under the name uncultured bacterium. Its description in RNAcentral is "bacterial SSU rRNA". It matches the Rfam family "Bacterial small subunit ribosomal RNA", at positions 337 to 917 of the family's 1533-position model. The record is from RNAcentral.
UCCUACGGGAGGCAGCAGUGGGGAAUAUUGCACAAUGGGCGCAAGCCUGAUGCAGCCAUGCCGCGUGUGUGAAGAAGGCCUUCGGGUUGUAAAGCACUUUCAGUCGUGAGGAAGGUAGUGUAGUUAAUAGCUGCAUUAUUUGACGUUAGCGACAGAAGAAGCACCGGCUAACUCCGUGCCAGCAGCCGCGGUAAUACGGAGGGUGCGAGCGUUAAUCGGAAUUACUGGGCGUAAAGCGCAUGCAGGUGGUUUGUUAAGUCAGAUGUGAAAGCCCGGGGCUCAACCUCGGAAUAGCAUUUGAAACUGGCAGACUAGAGUACUGUAGAGGGGGGUAGAAUUUCAGGUGUAGCGGUGAAAUGCGUAGAGAUCUGAAGGAAUACCGGUGGCGAAGGCGGCCCCCUGGACAGAUACUGACACUCAGAUGCGAAAGCGUGGGGAGCAAACAGGAUUAGAUACCCUGGUAGUCCACGCCGUAAACGAUGAGUGCUAAGUGUUAGAGGGUUUCCGCCCUUUAGUGCUGAAGUUAACGCAUUAAGCACUCCGCCUGGGGAGUACGGCCGCAAGGCUGAAACUCAAAUGAAUUGACGGA